CGCUCAUUUAUACCCGUUCAAAAUCAGCCAACUUGCUCAUUUAUUGACUUUACCCAUUUUGACAUGUCCAAAAUCAGUCCAAUCCACCAAUUUGACACCCUUAUAUAAAAGAUUAUAAAGGAGAAAAUAACAUAAGUGAAAGUUAGCAAAAUGGACAAUAUAAACAAAGACCAUAGAAGGUCAUUUUCAUUAAAAGUACACGAAUAAACUUAGUGCAAGAUUGCACAAAGGAUUGAAGUGCCACACUUAUUUAAAGUGUAACAAAAGGCUACUAAAAGCCAAUUAAAACACAACAUUAGCUACACUUUUAAGAAAGGUAGCAACUUUAUUAUGUGUGACACUGUGUCCUUAGUUUCUUCUAAUCUCUAAUUAGUUAUCCAUUAUCUCUUCUUCAAGCAAAGCUGCAGCCAAAGUUUUUGCUUCCUCAACCAAAGUUUCAGCUCCUGUUUUUAUCAUCUUCUCAUCAAACACACAUGGCUUAGUGCAUAGGCACCGUCUGAGGAGUUUGCUACAAUGACCAUCAGUAAAUUUCUCACUGAUACAAGCUUUUCUGCAUGGUGGUUUGGUAAUGCAUAUUCCAGGGAAUGUAUUGCUUUCUGUUUUGCAUUCUCUAGCUUGCACCUCUACAAUCAUUCACAAGUACUUACCAAUGUUAGAACAAAAGAAUAGAUAGAAUUGAAAGAAACCAUUAAAACAUGAAUAUAUUCAAGGUUCUUACAUACAUACAUACAUACUACAUACAUACAUACAUACAUACAUACAUACAUACAUAUGUGUAUAUAUAUAAGGGCAGCCCAGUGCACAAAGGGUCCAGGGAAUCGAGUCGCAUCCCAAAGGGUGUAAUGUAGAUCGACAGCAUACCCUAAAAAAUAUAUUGUCCCUAUACUAUUUGGAAGAACUAAUGCAAACAUAUUUUUUUCAGGAUUUUUCAAACCUUCCAGACGUAUACUAUAGAUUAAUUCGUCAUUUUAACAACAAAUACAUCAAAAAGAUAACCACACUUGAAAAUAUACUUGACAAAUCAUAAGAAGUGUAACUUGAUGUUCAUUAUGAUAGCUAAACCAGUCAUAGCUUUUAUAUUUAUUUUCUUAAAAGCAGAGUUGGGUAAUUAAGUGACUGGAUAGCAAGAAAUAGAAUCAUAUUAUAAAUUAUAUUUAUUAUUUUAUGUGGUUUUGGAGGAAUAAAUAGAGACAAACCAUAGGCAACAAACAGCAUCAUUGCCAAGAUAGCAAAUGCCAUGAAGCACAAGGAGCGAGCCAUAGUCUCUUUGAAUGAUGAAAAAUGAUAGGAAUUUUAAUAAAAAGAAAGAUUGCAAUUCAGAGGUGUGAAAGAACAGUAACUCAAUAGAGGUAUUUAUAGGCGCUGAACUAAGAGUAGAUAAAAUUUAAAGCAAAAAGUAAACAAAUAAAAUGAAAUAAUUAUUGCACUGGAAUUGUUGGUAAUUUGAAGUUUGGAGAUACAUAUUUCUUAUUUUUUUUCUUUUUCUUUUUUGUCUUUAACCAAUGUCCGAUAUUAGGACCUCAACUAGUGUUGAUUCGGCCCGUGUAUAGUAAAAAACAAUAACAUCAAUAAUAAUAACCCAGAAAAUUUUCACUAGUGGGGUCUGGGGAGGGUAGUGUGUAUGUAGACCUUACCCCGACCCUGAAGGAGUAGAGAGGUUGUUUUCGGAAGACCAUCGGCUUAAGAAAAUAAAAAAGACAAAAGGAGAUAAUAUUAGUAUCACCUUAGAAAUCAUAGGAAAAAUAGGAACAACAUGAAAUCCAGAAAAAAGAUGCAAAGCAAAGCAAAAAUUAUAGCUAGUAAAUAGGUCAUGCACUGAAAAGCAAAAAGCGUAAUAGUAAGACACAACGUUGUCACUAUCUGUCUUAGACAAAAAACCUGUCAGCCUAGUCUCACAAAGGUACAAAUUAAGACAAGAAUCAACUACCUUCUAACCUAGAACUCUAAUACCCGUGUAUAGUUAAAAGUACUUCUUAUAACAUGCUCAUGACUUGAAAUCGAGACUUCUAUCUAAGGGUGUAGGAAUCAUAUCGAUUGCACUACCAUUCGUGAUGGUUUAAAAAUAUCCCAAUGUUGUAGCAAAAUUAAAACUUAUUCUAAUGAUAAAUGUUGUUUUAGGCACACUACGACACAAGAGGAGGGUUAACUGGAUAGUUAACACUUAAAAAUUCUUCCAAAGUUUUUUAGAAAUUUGCUUAACCUAUAGUAUCUAGACGAUGGAAUUGGUUCUCAAAUUUGUCCUAGUUACUGCGCAAGUAAUAACAACGCGGAAUUAAGGAAAGAACAACGCACAAACUUUUACGAAAAUACUAUUGUCACUCAAAGGUGUAAAGAUCACGACCUAACCUAAUAGCAUUUAACCCAAACUCCGCUAAAAUAAAGAGCCAUUACUCAUAUUACAACUUUGUAACCUAAGAGAUUAAGUCCAAUCACUUUCCCCAACAAUCACUAGGUUGUUGCCCUUCGAUUUAACUCUAACUUGAAAUAGAUUAUUUGGUAUCCUAAGCUCAAAGAGUCAUAUGGUGCAAAUUAUUCGGUGUACCUUUAUAAAAUCGAGUUUUCAAAUUCCAUGUUUGUCUUGUUGUUUUUUUCUAUCUUUUCCUACAAUUAAACCCGGUGGGUAAUAUAUUCGUUGUAAGAACGUCAAGAUUAAACCCAUCCAAUGUAAAUACUGAAUCUAUCUCUUUAUAAUAAUGCACGGUGCACCCAUCUUCUUAAACUACUGGUUACUCAUCUCUUUCAAUGGCGAAGCCACAUGGUCACAAGGGUGGUUAGUUGACCACCCUUUGUUGAAAAAGUGUACUGUUUAUAUAGAUCAAAUAUUAUAUUUUAGAGGUAUAUAACACAUAUUGAACACCCUUUGUCGGAAAAAAUUCCACUUCUUUCAAAUUUGAAUAUCCUUAAAAAAAUUCCUAGCUUCGGCACUGAUCUCUUCACCAUGAAGCUGAAUCACUUAAUCUACUUGGUUCUUCACAAGUCACACCAAACUUAUGCCAAAAAUUUAAUAGAAGUUAAAGUUGUACAAAUUCAUAUAGUACAAAGAUAAAUUUGAUGUUUUACCAGAACAUAACACUGAGCUCCACUGCUCUCGCAACAGGUGAAGGAAGAGGUUUAAUAUCAACCUUUAUCUUCUUCAUGAAUAUCAAAAUUGUCCAAAUGGCAGAAUCAGAUACUGCAGUUUCAAGUACAGUUUACUUCAUAUGAGUUGAGAACUCAUUCUCACAAUAUAAGAAUGCACAGUUCGGGUCAGAAUUUGAAGUUUAUGAGUUCGAAAUUCUAGCAAUAUAAAAAAACGGAAAAGGCUUAAAACUGCCACUCAACUUUCAGAAAUGGUCUAUCCAUGCUAUCCGUUAAAAAAUGCUCAUUUCAUGCCACUACCGUUACACAUUUGGCCCAUCCAUGCCAUUAUUGACUAACGACUCAAUUUUUAUAUUUAUUUUAAUAUUUAUAACACCCACAUUUUCACGUGUCAUGUCGUUAUUGGUCCGAGUUAACCCAUGCCCCACUUAAUUUUAACCUUGGUUAGGUCCAUCUACCCAAACCCACCCGAUUAAAACAUACCCGAAUCAUUCACCCAACCCAAACUCUUCAUACCAAAUCCCCUUCUCUCCAAUCGUCUUCCCCAAGAUGUAAAUCUUGGCAGUGGUUGUUAUGACGAUGAUGGUGAUGACCACCGUAACAUAUCCGAACACCAUCUCCACUGCCACCGCUUGUCACCGAAAACUUCCACUUUGCAACCUUGUCUUCUUCUUCUUCUUCUUCAAGUAUUUCUUCAUCAUUUUCUUGAAUUGCUUCAAUCACCUCUUCUUCAUCGUCCAGGGGGAAAUCUUCAUUUUCCUCUUAUGUUUCUUCAUCUUCAUCACGAAUGAGAUGUAAUUUCAGUCCUCCAUCUUGGCCAGAAGUAAGGAGAGUUACGAGCCGACCAAUUUUCACCUCUGUCAACUCUAACCUUCUAUCUUUUCUCACCGCACGCAUGAAGAAAUUUGACUUUCCAUCUUGGUUUAAGGACGAUAAUGGCGGCGGAAACUUCUUUUCUUUCUUCUUCGAAUUACAUCUUUGCCAGCACCUUGAACUAAGUGGGGAAGACGACCGGAGAGAAGGGGGUUUGGUAUGAAGAGUUUGGGUUGGGUUAUUGAUUUGGGUAUAUAUUAACCGGGUCGGGUUUGAGUAGGUGGACUUAACCAAGGUUAAAAUUAAGUGGGGCAUGGGUUAAUUCAGACCAAUAACAACAGGACACGUGGAAAUGUGGGUGUUAUAAAUAUUAAAAAAAUAAAAAUUGAGUCGUUAGUCAAUAAUGACAUGGAUGAGCCAAAUGCGUAACGGCAGUGGCGUGAAAUGAGCAUUUGUUUAAUGGAUGACAUGGAUAGACCAUUUCUGAAAGUUGAGUGGCAUUUUUAGGCCUUUUUCGUAUAAAAAAUAAAAAGUUGCGGGUUAAAUAGUAAUAUAAUCAAAUAGUAUUUUCUUUUUAGUAUUUAUGUUAUAUCUCUUCGUUUUAUACACUUUUAAGAAAAAUAUUAAAUAACCCUAAUCAUAAGAGUAUACGUUAGUCAAAAUUUACCUUUUUUUAUACCAUAGAAGGUCAUUUUCAUUACAAAUACACAAAUAAACUUAGUGCAAGAUUGCACAAAGGAUUGAAGUGCCACACUUAUUUAAAGUGUAACAAAAGGCUACUAAAAGCCAAUUAAAACACAGCAUUAGCUACACUUUUAAGAAAGGUAGAAACUUUAUUAUGUGUGACACUGCAUCCUUAAUUUCUUCUAAUCUCUAAUUAGUUAUCCAUUAUCUCUUCUUCAAGCAAAGCUGCAGCCAAAGUUUUUGCUUCCUCAACCAAAGUUUCAGCUCCUGUUUUGAUCAUCUACUCAUCAAACACACAUGGCUUAGUGCAUAGGCACCUUCUGAGGAGUUUGCUACAAUGACCAUCAGUAAAUUUCUCACUGAUACAAGCUUUUCUGCAUGGUGGUUUGGUAAUGCAUAUUACAGGGAAUGUAUUGCUUUCUGCUUUGCAUUCUCUAGCCUGCACCUCUACAAUCAUUGACAAGUACUUACCAAAGUUAGAAUAAAAGAAAAGAUAGCUAGAAUUGAAAGAAACCAUUAAAACAUGAAUAUAUUCAAGGUUCUUAAAGAUACAUACAUACAUACAUGUGUGUAUAUAUAAGGGCAGCCCAGUGCACAAAGGGUCUAGGGAAUCGGUGUCAUGACCCAGAUAUCCCACCCUCGGGAGUCGUGAUGGCGCCUACUAAUGGAAGCUAGGCAAGCCGACCAUUUGAACAAAUUAAUUUUUCCCCAUUUUAAUUCUUUAACAAGUGUGAAUCAACAGUUUAUAAACAAACAACGAAAAUUUAAAACAAGCGGAAGAAACAAUUAAACCAUUUAAAUGAUUCCAACAUAAUUUCUUAAUAAAAAACUACCCAAGACUGGUGUCACAACUCCACAGACGGUCUAAGAAUUCUAUAACCAAGGUCCGAAGAAUAAAUGCAACAUUGUUUUUGGAUUACAUAAGUGAAACAGGAAGAAAAGAUAGAGGGAGACGCUAGGGCCUGCGGACGCCUGCAGGACUACCUUGGAUCUCAGUGUGGACUGAAGGUAGCCACCAAGCUACGGUCCAAAAGCUGCUGCUCCGGGAUCUGCACACAGUGCAGAGUGUAGUAUCAGCACAACCGACCCCAUGUGCUGGUAAGUGCCUAGUCUAACCUUGGCGAAGUAGUGACGAGGCUAGGACAAGACUACCAAAUAAACCUGUGCAGUAAAAGCAUAUACAUAUAUAGCAAGUAAUAAUAAAGGACACUAUCAGUUUAAGAUGGGAAGGGGAUAUGUUAUGGGGAAUAUCAUUUGCCAACAGUAACUCAGGAAGAAAACACAAAGAACAAUUUAAAAUUCGAAGCAGAAGGAAUAAGGAAAAAAAACAAAUCAAUAUCCUUUUAUUGAAUAUCGUGAUGGUUUAAAAAUAUCCCAAUGUUGUAGCAAAAAUAAAACUUAUUCUAAUGAUAAAUGUUGUUUUAGGCACACUACGACACAAGAGGAGGGUUAACUGGAUAGUUAACACUUAAAAAUUCUUCCAAAGUUUUUUAAAAAUUUGCUUAACCUAUAGAAUCUAGACGAUGUAAUUGGUUCUCAAAUUUAUCCUAGUUACUGCAAGUAAAAGCAACGCGGAAUUAAGGAAAGAACGACGCACAAACGUUUACGUAAAUAUAAUUGUGGUUCGAAGGUGUAAAGAUCACGACCUAACCUAAUAGCAUUUACUAACUCAAACUCCACUAAAAUAAAGAGUCAGUACUCAUAUUACAACUUUGUAAUCUAAGAGAUUAAUUCCAAUCACUCUCCCCAACAAUCACUAGGUUGUUGCCCUUCGAUUUAAUUCUAACUUGAAAUAGAUUGUUUAGUGUCCUAUGCUCAAAGAGUCAUAUGGCGUAAAUUAUUUGGUGUACCUGUAUAAAAUCGAGGUUUCAAAUUCCAUGUUUGUCUUGUUGUUUUUUUCUAUCUUUUCCUACAAUUAAACCCGGUGUGUGAUGUAUUCAUUGUAAAAACGUCAAGAUUAAACCCGUCCAAUAUAAAUAUUGAAUCUAUCUCUUUAUAAUAAUGUACGGUGCACCCAUCUUCUUAAACUACUGGUUAUUCAUCUCUUUCAAUGGCGAAGCCACAUGGUUAGACCACCCUUCGUCAAAAAAUUGUACUGUGUAUAUAGAUAAAAUAUUAUAUUUUAGAGGUAUAUAACAUAUAUUGGACACCCUUUGUCGGAAAUUUUUUUCACUUCUUUCAAAUUUGAAUACAACAAAUUCCUAGCUUCGACACUGAUCUCUUCACCAUGAUGCUGAAUCACUUAAUCUACUUGGUUCUUCACAAGUAACAUCAAAACUUAGGCCAAAAAUUUAAUAGAGGUUAAAGUUGUUCAAUUUCGUAUAAUAUAAAUGUAUACGGUGAAAUCGGAGGGUCCAAUCUCUCAUUAUCAAAGCACCUCGGAAGACCGUCUCGAAGUCCCGAGGCUACAAGGCUACGAUCAGGACUCCUCCCUCGAGGUUUGUCGACACUCGAUGUUGAGAUAAUGUCAACCACGGCCACAGUGGAAACGGGGAGUUCCCAUGGCACGUGGCUAGGACUGACGAAACCUAGAGAGCUACUCUAAGACCCGAGUCAGGGUGUCAUCUAAUUGUCGCGUCUCCAUACCCUUGUAAUUAAUGCUUGUUAUACUAUGAAGGGAUUUCCCUCCUAUAUAAAGGGGAUCCUCCCCACUUUGUAGACUUUGUUGCUUCAGCUACUCCACACGAAAAAUACAUGAAUAUUCUUUUUGCCCUCUAGCAUACUCUCUUAAUAUUAUUGUUUUCAUUUAUUGUCUUCAUAUUUGUUCGUCAUUCGCCAUAAAAAGCCUUCGCUGAUUAUUUCAUAACUGUUAGCCCUACCCCGAUCACCCACGACAGCUCGAGCCCGAGCCCUGGCAUCAACCUCGAGGCCACAAAUCGAUAGGCUCGAGGCCCUGAAUAGCUCACGUAGCGGUUUGAUUAUAGCCUUCUCCCUAACUUUAUUUCGUCUCUAAGUCUCACAUACCCAGCAUCAACUGCUUAUCAAACUAGCAUAAAAAAUAGAUCACGUAUUUUUAGAGUCCCAUCAACAAAUUUAAUUGUCAUUACCAUUUUCACGGUAAACAGUUUGGCGUCCACCGUGGGGCUAAAAAUAAUAGUGAUUGUUUUCUUGCUGGUUUUACUACAUAACGCAAGUUAUCUUUCACGCUUUUUCUUUUCCAAUAUCUUCGAUUUCAGGUAAAAAUGUCUAACUCGGUAAACGGAGAUGAAAACAACAAUCUUGAGGACCAUGGGGAGAACGGUGUGGCUAUUCUAGGUAUUGUUGUGCCGCCACAAAACCAUGGGAAUGCGCCGGAGCCAAUCCCCGUGGACGCGGCCUCACGCGACGCCCAACGCAUCGGCAUAAGCUCCAACACUGACAGGAUCGUGCACCAAGGGGAUCAACAAGAAGCAUAGAAAACCCCAACUAGGGAAGAACGUGAGGUUAGCCUUCAUGUUAUUUUUGAAAUGUUGCAGGCAAAACAUCUAGUUAUUGCUCAGCUGCAAAGUCACCAGAAAACUCCUGGCACGGUAGCACCGGGGACAGCUCCCCCGGUCGAACAGGUACCUGAGAGAUCGAGCAAUAACGGGUUGAUAGCCGACCCUGUCAUCGUAAAAAUACUCGAGGACCUCACCAAAAGAAUCAAAUCAGGCGAGAAAAUGAUAGAAGCCAACGACAAAAAGGUCGAGACCUACAACUCCAGGGUCGACCAGAUUCCGGGCGCGCCACCGAUCCUGAAAGGUAUGGAUUCGAAGAAGUUCAUACAAAGGUCGUUCCCUGAGAAAACGGCCCUAAAACCCAUUCCAUAGAAGUUCAGAAUGCCGGAGAUCCCAAAGUACAAAGGGGCCUUAGACCCCAAUAAACACAUUACUGCCUACACUUGCGCAGUAAAGGAAAACGAUAUAAAGAACGACGAGAUCGAAUCCGUAUUACUGAAAUAGUUCGGGGAAACACUCUCGAAGCGGGCCAUGAUGUGGUAUCACAACUUAGCUCCUAACUCCAUAGACUCAUUCGCCAUGCUAGCAGACUCCUUCAUAAAGGCACAUGUCGGUGCCAUCAAAGUAGCAACGAGGAAAUCUGGCGUUUUCAAAAUUAAGCAAAGGGAGAACGAGAUGCUGCGAGAAUUUGUAUCUCGUUUUCAAAUGGAACUAAUGGAGCUACCGCCAGUCUCCGACGACUGGGCGGUGCAGGCUUUCAUUCAAGGUCUGAACGAACGAAACUCUAUGGCUUCAAAACAGUUGAAGCAAAAUUUGAUCGAGUAUCCAGCUGUGACCUCGUUGGACAUCCACAACUGGCACCAAUCGAAAAUCAGGGUCGAGGACGACCAGUUGGGAGCCCCCUUGGGCUCAGUAUACCAAAGCUGGAGCCAAAACAAAACAAAGCAAGAUAUCAGCCAUACAUCAAAGACAAGAGAACGCCUCGAGGCGCACCCCACCUCGCAAUGAUCGAAGGAUAGAUCGAGGACAGGAUCCUCGGGGACUCACCAACAGAGCCAGGUUCGAUAGGAACGCAGGGCCAACGGGGGCACCUCACUUGUCAGAAUACAAAUUCAACGUUGAUGUAUCGGACAUCGUGUUUUCCAUCAGUAAAAUCAGAGAUGCCAGAUGGCCCAAGCCUGUACAAUUAGAUCCUUCACAAAUGAAUCAUAACUUACUGUGCGAAUUUCACAACACGCACGGCCACAGGACCGAGGAUUUCCACCGAGGAUUGACACCAACUCCGAGAAGAGGUAGCUCGACUACUUAAAAAAGGUCAUCUCCGGGAAUUCCUUAGCGACCGAGCCAAAAAUCAAUUCCGGAAAAGAGAGGCGGCUAAGAAGAACGAAGAAAACAAGCCACAACAUGUCAUCCACAUGAUCUUGGGAGGAGUUGAUGCCCCACUGGAACCCGUAAUGAGAAGGACAAAAAUAUCCAUCACCCGAGAAAAGCAAACCUGGGGAUAUAUUCUUGAGGACGCCCUCACAUUCAGCAAAGAGGACACCGAGACCUUGUCUCAACCUCACAAUGAUGCACUGGUAAUCUCUUUCCUUGUGAAUUCUUUUCAAAUAAAACGUGUACUCAUGGAUCUAAGUAGCUCGGCCAACAUUAUCAGGUCGAGGGUGAUAGAGCAUCUCGAACUGCUUAACCAAAUCGUGCCCGCCACUCAAGUCCUCAACGGAUUCGAUUUGGCAAGUGAAACAACAAAAGGAGAAAUCACACUCCCUAUCACCGUGGCCGGCACGACCCAAAAUGCCAAAUUCCAUGUAAUCGAAGGAGUCAUGAGGUAUAACGCGUUGUUCGGACGAUCGUGAAUACACUGCAUGAGGGCAGUACCGUUCACUCUACACUAAAUGAUGAAAUUCCCGACAAAGGAUGGGAUUAAAACUGUCUACGAGGAACAACAUGCGGCAAGGGAAAUGUUCGCGGUACACGACGUGGCACCGACACCCAUGCAUCCGCUCGCAAAAAAUCCAAAGGGUAAUCAAGGCACACCCUCAAUCAAGCUCGAUUAAACAAAAUAAAGGACCGUACUGCAUCCUCAUCUCAAGUGAUUGGAACAUAUCAGUCCUCAAAACAUCGUCAGCGCGUCUCACACUAAGGUAUAACCAUCUCCCUUUUCAUUUCGUAUUUCAGACUAACCCUUAUGCAGGCGCCCGAUCGAAGCAGUCAGAAUGAUAAACAGUUCGAAUACCUUGAGGUUUUAAAGCAUCCGUUGCACUCUUUUCCUUCGACCGAGUUUUUAUCCCGAAAAGGGUUUUACCGGCAAGGUUUUUAACA
RNAcentral lists this long non-coding RNA (10310 nucleotides) under Nicotiana tabacum (common tobacco). RNAcentral's name for it is "long non-coding RNA (NTAB_LNC011189)". Lineage: Eukaryota; Viridiplantae; Streptophyta; Magnoliopsida; Solanales; Solanaceae. The record is from RNAcentral.